CCUAGCCUCCAUUCCCCUUCUACUCGCUGCCCCUCCAGCCGCACCACUCGGGCCUCCGCCGUCUCCUCCACCAUAAACCCGCCACCGUCUGCGCGUCUCUGUCAUCUCCUCCGCCACAAACCCCCACCCUCCGCCGGUAUCUUCGUCAGCGACGACAUCUUUUCCGGUGAAGUUUAGGGUUGAUCGUUAAGCAGUUUGUAACAAUAAUAAUGGACUCAGCUGCUUUGCUCUUUGGUGUUCUGCCUAGGCUUUGGAAGGUGAUAUUGUGGAAUCCACUGGCCUUUGAUUCAGCAGUGCACAAAUGAGGAGGAAAUUGUUGCUGUGAUUGCUCAUGAACCCGGUCAUUGGAAACUGAAUCACACAAUAUACUCCUCUGUUGGUGUUUAGUGUAAGCAACAAAAUGGUGGAUGGGAAUGCGGCUACAUGGUUCUCCAACAUAUGUUUAUCAAUUUAUUACAUCCCUUACAUGACUUUGUCAAUUUGUAUCAAAGCCAAUUUUCCGAUGAAAUGUGGCACGACACAAGAGAGACUACAGAUAAUGAAAUAAUGUUUUGUUGAUGACGUUGAUGCCGAAGUUUUUUAGCGAGUUAGGUAUUUCGUUAGUUUAGCUUAUGUGUAGUUUGUUUUGUAUUCACAAAUGAUUGUAAUUUGACGGGUUUAUUUCCGAAUUGGAUGUCUACGGGUUUAUUGUGGAUUUGAAUGUGUAUUGUUUUGGUUUG
Long non-coding RNA from Helianthus annuus (common sunflower), 719 nucleotides. RefSeq lists it as uncharacterized. The transcript is spliced from 6 exons. The record is from RefSeq and is a predicted model, not a curated record. NCBI's taxonomy places the organism in Eukaryota, Viridiplantae, Streptophyta, Magnoliopsida, Asterales, Asteraceae.